This 253-nucleotide ribosomal RNA is filed under the name uncultured prokaryote. Its description in RNAcentral is "partial 16S ribosomal RNA". It matches the Rfam family "Bacterial small subunit ribosomal RNA", at positions 525 to 777 of the family's 1533-position model. The record is from RNAcentral.
ACGUAGGGCGCAAGCGUUAUCCGGAAUUACUGGGCGUAAAGCGUGCGCAGGCGGCUUUGCAAGACAGAUGUGAAAUCCCCGGGCUUAACCUGGGAACUGCAUUUGUGACUGCAAGGCUAGAGUACGGCAGAGGGGGAUGGAAUUCCGCGUGUAGCAGUGAAAUGCGUAGAUAUGCGGAGGAACACCGAUGGCGAAGGCAAUCCCCUGGGCCUGUACUGACGCUCAUGCACGAAAGCGUGGGGAGCAAACAGGA